Molecule: long non-coding RNA, 3219 nt
Filed under: Sarcophilus harrisii (Tasmanian devil)
Lineage: Eukaryota; Metazoa; Chordata; Mammalia; Dasyuromorphia; Dasyuridae
Description: lncRNA (ENSSHAG00000031048.1)
Source: RNAcentral
CUUCAUGAUGGUUUUCAUCAUUGUUGUUGCUACACUAAAGUUCAUAAUAAAAAUUGAAUAUGUUUGUUUGUUUUUUUCAAGAGUCACUAAGGCAACAGAUGUGAGAUUAGGGCUGGAUACCUGGCAACCAUGCCCACUUACCUUCUUCUCCACACCCCUUAAAUUGCUCUCCCCUCCAACUAUUACACAUGCUAUUAUUCUUAAUAUUUUUAUUCUCUAUUCUUUUGAUCAAGGCUGCUCUAGAUGGUCACUUCAAGACACUUCAAACUAGGAUUUGGGGAAUACACUCUGUGGUGGAUGUUCCCUGGGCCCUGCAUUACAUGGGGAAUGGCUCUGGCUAUAAACAGGGCAUCAGAAAAUGUUACCACAUAAUCUUCCUCAUUGACAGAUCAGAUCACUUUACUCCACUAUUCAAAACCCUUCAAUGGCUAACAUUGAUUAAAAUCCAGACUUCUCAGCCUGAUAUUCAAGUCCUUUCCUUCUCUACAGUUCCAACCUAUUUAGGCAAUUUUAUUUCCCUUUCCUACCUUUCAAAUAUUCUUUUUCCAUCCAAACUAGGCCACUUGCUAAACCUUCAUGAACACUUAAAGUCUUCCUGCCUCUGUGCCUUUUCUGAUGCUCUUCCCUACACAUGGAAUAUCCUCCCCACUAUUACUUUCUUUUGCAAAUCUGCUUCUCCUUCCCUUUAAAAGUCCAUUCAAAUGUCAUCUCCACCAUGAUGUCCCCAAUUAAAAAUUCUCUUUCCUUCCUUGGACCUCAUAUAACACUUAGUUUCUAUUUCACUAAUGUUCUUAGCAUAUUUGUUUUGAAUUCCAGUUAUUUGUGCCUGUAUCUCAUCUCCCCUACUAAAUUUUGAGCUGCUUCAAGGAAAGGAUCAAGUCUUAUUUUUCCUUGUAUCUCUCCCAGUUUAGUAUGCUAGUUUUUACACAUAGUGGGAACUUCAUAAGUGUGUGUUCCAUUUGACAAGUUGUCAACACUCAAAAGAGCUGAGGAGUCAGUGUGACCACUGCUUUAACCCUCAUGAUAUUCACUAUUUGUUUAAAACCUCCUAAAGUAAUACACACACACAUACACACACCCCUUUAUUAUUGUUCUAUGCUCUGGACCUUUCCUGGCCUUCUUCCUCACUGCCUACCACUUCAAAACUUCUGUGUAUUCUGCAAUCCUUGGAGUCUUGGUCUAACUAAUCCUUUAUAUUAAUUCUUACUAAGUCAUUAGUAGCAGCCAGAUGAUGCAGUGGAUUGAACAUGGGGCUUAGAACCAGAAGUACUCAUCUUUCUGAGUUCUAAUCCAGCCUCUGACACUUACUAUCUGUGUGAUCCUGGGCAGAUAAUGCAACCCUUUUUGUCUCAGUUUCCUCAUCUGUAAAAUGAGCUGGAGAAGAAAAUGGCAAACUACUCCAGCAUCUUUGCCAAGAGAACCCCAAAAAGAGAUCACUAAGAGUCAGAUAUGACUGAAACAACCAACAACAAAAGGUGGGCAAUGAUGGCUUAAAUGAAUUAUCCUUUCUGUAAUUGUCUUCUUACAAAGACCUACAACUUAAGGCUAUUGAUAAUUUCAAGAGAUAUUUAAGAUAUUGAUGAUUCAGCCUUGAAAAUGUUUCUGAAGACCCAGAAAAGAAAGUUUUUACCAACAAAGAUGAUUUUCUCAAAAGUAAGAAGCAUAUCAUCUGCUUUGAUGUCAUAUUUUAAGGACAACGGAACCUUUCCAUCUGACUUGCAGCUAAAAUCUUCUACAAGUAUUGUCUCUCCCAUCAGAAGCUCCAGGAAAGCAGAGUAACUUUUCUAUUUGUAUCCCUAAUAUUUAACACAGUGGUUUACACAUAUUAAGCAUUUAAAUAUUUUUUAAAAUGCAUUCCAUCAAAUUAUGUAAUGAAGGCAACCAUUCAUUUUGUCUAUUCAUCAAGCUAUUCCUACAUGGUAUUUCCUGGUUGGCUUUGUGGCUAUUCGCUGCUUGGCAACUAAUGGGGCAUUGUUGACUUAAAGACUCCACAUCACCAGAUUGAGUCUUAGCCGAUACUAACCCAGUGCCCAGUGUAAAUUAAAUAUGUAAUUCUUCAUGUAUUGUUAGGUCAGACUUAAAUAUUUUGCUGGGACAAAAAAGGAGACAAUUGCUUGUCCUGGACUCCUACAAUGGUAGCAUAAGAAUUCCCAUGCUUCCCAGACUCAAAUCAAAAUGCUGAAAUGCCAAUCACUGCCCCUCUGAAGCAUUCCAUAUUUGUUUGCCCUUUUGAGUAAUCAAAGCAUUACGUCAUGAAAUACCAAUACUGUCAACUUAUGCUUGUCAAUUAUAGGCUGCUGACCUGUAUUCCUAGGUACCAUGAUGCUGUUUGUUUUUAAUAAACGUUCUUUUGCUCAGAAUUUCUGGGAAAAUGAAUUCACUCUUCUGAGAAAUAUAGAUUUAAUAUUUGAGAUUAAGCAAAAGCUGUUCUUGUUGUUUAUAAAAAAUAAACCAAAUGCAUUUUCCCAUCUCCUGUUUCUUUGCCUUUGAAUCGUCUGUCCCCCAUGCCUCCUCUUCUGUUUCAUAAAAUGUCUCUUUGAGAUGCAAUUGAAACAUCAUUUUCUAUACGAAAUCUUUUCUGAUUCUUCCACCACUUCUUAUGCUCUCCAUUGUAUUUAAAACCUUCUUAUCAUCCCCACCUCCUUAGAAUGUUAGCUACUUCAGUACAGAAAUUGUUUCCUCCUUUGUAUGUUUAUCCCUGACUCCUAGCACAAUGCCAACCAUUGUUGUUGGUUAUGAUUUGUUUCCCUCUGGUAUCAAAUAACAUAUCUAGCUAUCUCUACUAAUAAUAUUAAUAGCUGGCAUUUACAUAGCACUUUUAAGUACGUAAAAUUCUUUAUAUACUGUCUCAUAUAAACAUCACAACACCCUCAAGGUAGGGACUACAGAUUUCCCCACUUCACAGAUGUUAAAAUAGAGGAUCAUAGAUAAAUUAAGUGAUUGGUGAGCACAAGCUAGCAUUAGAGCCUGGGUUCAAAUUCAGUUCUCCCAAUGCCAAGGUCAGCAAUUUAUUGGCUAUGAUUAUACCUCUAUUUCUAGACUACGCAAAUCCUUCCCUGAAACUAUCUUGAAAUUCCCUGUCUCCUGUCCUAAAACAACACAGCUAUUUCUUUUUUCUUUUUUUUUUUUUUUUUUUUUUAAUUUAAUAGCCUUUUAUUUACAGGAUAUAUACAUGGGUAACUUUACAGCAUUAACAAUUGCCAAACCUCUUGUUCCAAU